AUGAUCCCAGCUUGCUGGGGGAUUAGUGGCGAACGGGUGAGUAACACGUGAGUAACCUGCCCUUGACUCUGGGAUAAGCCUGGGAAACUGGGUCUAAUACCGGAUACGACCAUCUGGCGCAUGUCAUGGUGGUGGAAAGCUUUUGUGGUUUUGGAUGGACUCGCGGCCUAUCAGCUUGUUGGUGGGGUAAUGGCCUACCAAGGCGACGACGGGUAGCCGGCCUGAGAGGGUGACCGGCCACACUGGGACUGAGACACGGCCCAGACUCCUACGGGAGGCAGCAGUGGGGAAUAUUGCACAAUGGGCGCAAGCCUGAUGCAGCGACGCCGCGUGAGGGAUGACGGCCUUCGGGUUGUAAACCUCUUUCAGUAGGGAAGAAGCGAAAGUGACGGUACCUGCAGAAGAAGCGCCGGCUAACUACGUGCCAGCAGCCGCGGUAAUACGUAGGGCGCAAGCGUUAUCCGGAAUUAUUGGGCGUAAAGAGCUCGUAGGCGGUUUGUCGCGUCUGCUGUGAAAGACCGGGGCUCAACUCCGGUUCUGCAGUGGGUACGGGCAGACUAGAGUGCAGUAGGGGAGACUGGAAUUCCUGGUGUAGCGGUGAAAUGCGCAGAUAUCAGGAGGAACACCGAUGGCGAAGGCAGGUCUCUGGGCUGUAACUGACGCUGAGGAGCGAAAGCAUGGGGAGCGAACAGGAUUAGAUACCCUGGUAGUCCAUGCCGUAAACGUUGGGCACUAGGUGUGGGGGACAUUCCACGUUUUCCGCGCCGUAGCUAACGCAUUAAGUGCCCCGCCUGGGGAGUACGGCCGCAAGGCUAAAACUCAAAGGAAUUGACGGGGGCCCGCACAAGCGGCGGAGCAUGCGGAUUAAUUCGAUGCAACGCGAA
RNAcentral lists this ribosomal RNA (884 nucleotides) under Arthrobacter sp. LMR296. RNAcentral describes it as "bacterial SSU rRNA". It matches the Rfam family "Bacterial small subunit ribosomal RNA", at positions 69 to 965 of the family's 1533-position model. The record is from RNAcentral. Lineage: Bacteria; Bacillati; Actinomycetota; Actinomycetes; Micrococcales; Micrococcaceae.